This 2501-nucleotide long non-coding RNA is filed under the name Nicotiana tabacum (common tobacco). RNAcentral describes it as "long non-coding RNA (NTAB_LNC013367)". The record is from RNAcentral. Lineage: Eukaryota; Viridiplantae; Streptophyta; Magnoliopsida; Solanales; Solanaceae.
CUUUUUUUAUUUCCUAUUCAUCUUUCUUUUGUUUUUUGAUUACCCUUUAAAACUUGAAACUUCCAUGAUUUUGAAGAUCAAGGUACUUGUAGAAAGCGCAGUAAAGGUAAUGGUUGAAUGGCCAUCAAUUUAAGGAAAAUUUUUGUGUGCAUAUUUUAAAUUUUUCUUAUGGGUGAAUAGGUAUCUUAUUUCCUCAUACUUUUUUUGUCGACACUUGCUUCGGCUUGCAUCCAUCUCUAUGUCAAUCGUCACAUUGGAGUAAGUACACUCUCUAUGUUCUUUCCUUUUCAAUUUUACAAUGAUAUAUGUUAGUUUAAUUUAUUUAUUUUGGCGUUUCUUUGUACUCAUUUUGUAAUCAUAGGAGAUAAGGAUGAUUUAUUUGUUUUCUUUGUAUUACUCAUGAUUUGAUCUGGUUCUAAUUUGCGGUAGUACUUAAAGUAUUUUAUUCUAGAGGACAAAGCCCAUUUGGUGUUUGAUAAAAUGCCACAACAGAGGUGAUGUCACUUGAACAAAUUAUAUAUAAUGACAAUAUUGUUAACAAGUAGUCUUUAAAUCUUUAAAAUAUCAGAUAUCAGUUUCACACAUUCGUAUUAGUUUUAAUUCCUUUGUUUAUGAGUUAGGGUAGAUUCUCUUUACAUGCUAAAUUUUGAAGAAUAAUAGAAUUACCUCUGAGUUUAAUUAGGCUGUUAAGUUAUAUUUUUAUUCUUCAUCAAUGUUUUCAUUUGAAAUAUCUGUUAUCCCAAACAGAGAAAUAGAGGUUGAAUGAAAUAUGUAAUGAGAACAAAGGAGAUGCAAUAAAAGUACAAAGGAGAGAUGCAAUAAAAUAUAUGUAUAAUGAGAAUAAAGGAGAUGCAACGUCUAUAGCAUAAGCAGAGAUAAUGUGAACUUCUUUUGGUUUAGAGGUGAAAAUUGGAGAAAAUAAGACAAAGAUAGGAAACUGAUUGGUACAAUAAAGGUGCAAACAUUUUUGUUAUAUUUUAGCUUAUUAAGAGGUACUUCUCCUUAUAUUUUCUUGCCUUAGGUUCUGACUUCUACGUUUUUGUGAUGUUUUCUUUUCUUUUUUUAGGUGUUUGACAAAGAUGGUAACUUAAGAGCUUUAAGAGUGAGGUGGAAACAGUUUUGGAAUCACUAGAAUCAAGUCAGAUCAACAUACAACUGUUUGUUCCUAUUAAAUUUUGCACUUCCUUGCAGUUCUUGAUAUUUUUUUUAGAUUUUUAUCUAUUAUGCCUUGUAUUCAUGCAAACACUAAGAACACGUAUAAUGUGUAGUGGUUACAUUCACAUGGUUAACAAAGCCUCGCUCUCUGUUGUUGCCUUCCAAAUCUCUAUAGUACGUUUCUUUCUUUGACUCAUUUAUGAGAUGCACUCUUUAAUUGACAGUGAACCUGAUUUGUUAUUUUCAAUUACUUGGUUAUGUUAUGUUCUUGUGGUGAUAAAAUUGCUUCUUGUUGGUGCUCUGCAGCUUAUAUGUUCUUAUGUGUUGAAUGGGGGUUUUGGAUAAAAAAUUAAACUGGAUUUGAAACAUGUAGAUGUUGAAUAGUGUCUAGUAAUUCGUACAUUCUACUACAAUAUCUAUUAUAUACAUCCUUCAAAUUAAUUUUUUAAGUGCAAAUCAUAAUCUAUCAUACAGAAUUUGGCUAUCUAACAGCACUAAAAGCUAGCAUGAUCACCAUAGGCUUAACAUGCUACAUUAACUAAAUGACUUGAUCUGAUAGUUUAUUUCGAUUUCUUUAAGUUUGUACACACUUUAUGGUUACUAUUUCUUUCACGUUGUCCUAGUUUUCAAGUAUUAAGUCACACAAAAAUACCAAGACUAUCUAUCUUAACUUCUCGUCAUUAUAGAAAACUUCUCCGGAUGUACUUUAUAUAUGCAUAUCAGCCAGUCAUUGUCUUGCUUUAUAACUCUGCUUGUUUAGUGAUGUUUGAGUUACUUAAAAAAGUUUAUUUUUCACGAUGUGAAGGAAAUACUUGCACUACGCAAGAUGCAUAUAUGCCUACCUUCGAUUCCAUAAAAGAAUCUGGUGCAUCUAUUCCUUUAACAAGAACUAGGGACGUUGCUUUACUUUGGGCUAUGGCUGCUUGUGGAAUAUUUUAGCUUCAAAAAUGGUUGUGCAAUGCGAACAACUAGUAAUUCUACACUGACUUUGUUCAUUAUGUGAAGCUCUUUUUGACUGCUUUUGAAGUAUGAUUAUAGUUUGGUGAGACUCUUCAAAGGUUAGUUGAAAGCUACAAUAUAUCGGCGAAGAUUUGAGUUGUAAGUUGGAUGAGUUCUUGGAUGCAACUUGAUCUGAUACAAUUCAGCCUAUCUUACUGGCACACAAUUGAAUCUUCAAACUGGAAUUUCAUGUGGAAGAACUCAAUAUGAUUUAAGAGUUCGAAGAGAGAUUUUUAUUAGACUUGAAAUAUCAUUUGAUUCAAAUGGUUUAUUUUUUUUUCUUAGGUUGUUCACACUUUGUAACGAUGGAUUAGAAGUUGUAUUUGUUUAUUGUGGAUUUAAUGAAG